CCCUUAGAUGUUCUGGGCCGCACCCGCGCUACAAUGGUGAAUUCAACAAGUCAACCAAAGCCGAUAGGUGGAGGUAAACUCGUAGUAUUCGCCGUGAUGGGGAUAGACCCUUGUAAUUAUUGGUCUCCAACGAGGAAUUCCUAGUAGACGCAAGUCAUCAACUUGCAUCGAUUACGUCCCUGCCCUUUGUACACACCGCCCGUCGCUCCUACCGAUCGAAGAGUUAGGUGAAUUGUUUUGAUCGAUAAGAUUUGACUAUGGUCAACUCUCGUUGUGAAAUUCUGUGAAUCUGACUGUUUAGAGGAAGGAAAAGUCGUAACA
RNAcentral lists this ribosomal RNA (321 nucleotides) under uncultured eukaryote. Its description in RNAcentral is "partial 18S ribosomal RNA". It matches the Rfam family "Eukaryotic small subunit ribosomal RNA", at positions 1470 to 1796 of the family's 1831-position model. The record is from RNAcentral.